RNAcentral lists this ribosomal RNA (473 nucleotides) under uncultured bacterium. RNAcentral describes it as "partial 16S ribosomal RNA". It matches the Rfam family "Bacterial small subunit ribosomal RNA", at positions 355 to 822 of the family's 1533-position model. The record is from RNAcentral.
UGGGGAAUUUUGGACAAUGGGCGAAAGCCUGAUCCAGCAAUGCCGCGUGUGUGAAGAAGGCCUUCGGGUUGUAAAGCACUUUUGUCCGGAAAGAAAUCCUUGGCUCUAAUACAGUCGGGGGAUGACGGUACCGGAAGAAUAAGCACCGGCUAACUACGUGCCAGCAGCCGCGGUAAUACGUAGGGUGCAAGCGUUAAUCGGAAUUACUGGGCGUAAAGCGUGCGCAGGCGGUUUGCUAAGACCGAUGUGAAAUCCCCGGGCUCAACCUGGGAACUGCAUUGGUGACUGGCAGGCUAGAGUAUGGCAGGAGGGGGGUAGAAUUCCACGUGUAGCAGUGAAAUGCGUAGAGAUGUGGAGGAAUACCGAUGGCGAAGGCAGCCCCUGGCAAUACUGACGCUCAUGCACGAAAGCGUGGGGAGCAAACAGGAUUAGAUACCCUGGUAGUCCACGCCCUAAACGAUGUCAACUAGUUG